Molecule: long non-coding RNA, 4886 nt
Filed under: Sus scrofa (pig)
Lineage: Eukaryota; Metazoa; Chordata; Mammalia; Artiodactyla; Suidae
Description: lncRNA (ENSSSCG00055009837.1)
Source: RNAcentral
AAAAGAUAGGCCAAAGUUAUGGUCCUGUUUACCUGAGGUGCUCACUGAGUUACCCGUAUUAAAAGCUCGUUAUCCUCACUUGAUUAAUAAUAGCUUCCAGGAACUGUCUUAGGAGAAAUUCAGAAUCUGAUUGUUAGUUCACUGGGAAAAAGUGCCACAGUCAAUUAAUAAUGUCUGCCUUGAGCAUGGGAAAAAAGUGGAAGUAACUUAUGUGCCAUAUAUUUGUAUGGAUUAUUUUUAUUGAUACUUAAAGGGGUUCUUUUACUUGAAAUUUUAUGAAGAGUACAAGGAUCACCUGGGAAUGUCUGAACCCCCUCUAUUGAAAGCGCACUAAUAUAUAACUAAUCAGACAAGAGACAAUAAAAAUAUACGCAGACCACGUGGAAAAUAAAAACCAAUUCUAGACAUUGGCAGUGGAUAAAUCUCAGACCUUGGCAGAUCCUAUGUGAAAAUCCCACAAUGGCAGUUCAUGGAACAGUAAGACCAUACUGGACGCUUGAGCGCAUGGUUGGCUAGGACCAUCCACCUACCAACUGACUUCUCUUGCACGUCAGUGAUCAUGACGUAAAUUUGGGCUUCUGAAAACUCAAAAUCUGCCUCAGGUUAUGAAACUUCAAGGUCACUCUCUGUGGUAGGUAGAACAACAUCUAAGAUGCUCACACCCUCAUCCCUGUGAACCGAUGAACAUGUAUGUUACAUGACAAAAACCACCCCCAACACUGCAGACUUUAAAGUUCUGAAACCUAAAGGUGGGAGUUUAUCUGGAUCAUCCAGGUAGGCGCAGUCUAACAUGGAGAAGCAAAAGAUCCAGUAUAUUCAACACAAUAUAGAAGAAGAAAAAAUUUGGAGGACUGGAAUAACCUGACUUCUACACUAUAAAGAUAUAAUAAUCAAGACAGUGUGGUAUUGGUGAAAGAACAGACAGAUAGACCAGUAGAACAUAAAUAGACUCACGUAAACGUAUUCAACUGAUCUUUGCCAAAGGAGCAAAGGCAAUACAAUGGAGCAGAGAGAGGUUUUCAAUCAGUGAUGCUGGGACAACUAAACAUGACCCUCAAUAUGCUGAUACCUUUUUGGAUCUAACACCAAAAGCAAGAUUCAUGAAAGAAAUACUUGAUAAACUGAGCUUAACUGAAAUUAAAACCGUUUCUGUGAAAGAUAACGUCAGGAGAAAGCGAAGACAAGCCACAGCUGGGAGAAAAACAUUUGCAAAACACACAUCUGAUGAAGGACUGUUAUCCCAGAAUGUACAAAGAACGGUUAAAACUUAGGAAGAAAACAACCUGAUCAAAAGAUAGACUGAAGAUCUCGACACCUCAUCAAAGAUAUACAGACGGCAAAAAGAAUAUGAAGAGAUACUCUGCCUCAUAGGUCAUCAGGGAAACGCAAAUGACAUCAACAAGGAGAUACCACUGCACAGCUCUUAGAACAGCCGAAAUCGGGAACCGACAACACCAAAUGCCAGCGAGGAUGCAGAGCAACAGGAACUCUCAUUCAUUGCUGGUGGGAAUGCAAGAUGGCACAGCCUCCUUGGACGACAACUUGGCUGUUUCCUACAAAACUAAACAUGCAUUCACCCACAGUUGUUUUUAAGUGUCAGCCUUCACCAGUUGUUUUUUCCAUAAGAUGAUCCCCGAGGCAGGAGGGUCUUUUUUUGCUUUCUGUCUCUCUGACUUUGCGCCAUGAUGGGGAAGGGAAGGGACUGUGAAUAUAAAAAACUCCCUUUAACUCCGCACUGCCCUCUCCUGCUGCUGUGGCUGUGAAGAGAACAGUUUCCUGGCUGGUAAGACACGAAAUGGCACCCAACACUGCAGAGAAGUCACUGCUUCUGUGACAAUCCCUCUGUCACAGCUCUCCUUCUCCGUCCUCUCCUGCUCCUGAUGCCCUGCUGGGCUGUUUGUAUUUAAUCCCAUGUACUUUCAAUGGCAGUCUGCCAUCGUGCCAGGAAACCAGGUUGUCUGAUUCUCCCUUCCCUGAGUUUAAUUAUUUAAUAGAUCGAGCAGGUUCAUUGUCUGCUACAGAAUUUCUCAUUGUCAGCACUAAUGGCACUGUUUGGGCUGAGUAAUUGUUUGCUGUGUAAUUUGUACAUGUGGGGGUGUGUCCUGGGCAUUGUGGGAGGUUUUGCAGCAUCCUUGACUGUUUGCUAGAUGUCAAUAGCAGUCCUGAGUUGUGACAAUUAAAAGUAUCCCAACAUUACCAAAUAUCCCCCCCUGGGGGACAAAAUCCCCCUCCCCCAAGGUGAGAACCAUUGGCCUGAGGUUAAGGUACCAGUCUGAUGGGCUUGUUUCACUCACCUGUGAGCCAUUCCCUCUUCAAGGGAGCCGCUUAGAGCAAAGCACAUUGCAGCCUAGGUCAAUUUCACGAUGAAGGCAAAAAUUUAUGCUUUUUAAACAGGAAGUCCUCCAUAUAGUCAGCAGACUGAGACCCGGCAAAGUCUCCUCUCCAGCUUUGAACAGCCUAAUUAAACCAGCAGAUUCAGCACAUUCUGUCAUUGGUAGCGAUCACUUCCAGCUCUUUCGCACUCCCAGCUGAAAAGAACGUGAGGAAACCCAUCCUUAUCCUGCCCACAGGUCUGAGUUCUGACAGGUGUGACAGGACAUCUUCUGGGCCACAGUUUCCCAAAGUAUGCUCCUCCCAUUUCAUUUUAGGUGGUGAAAUGUAAACCUUUACAUUUCAUUAGCAAUGUGUUCACCUUAAUAACACGUGUUGUGUGUCAGGGUGGGGGUCGGGGCACCACAAGGGCACCAAACUCACAGUGCAAGUCUUCUUUAGAAGACAUGUACGUACGUACAGAAAGUGAGCUGGUUUAAUGAGCGUAACAGGACGGAGUAUAUGCACAUGUGUACAGUUUCCUGCUGAUGCUGUAAGAAACUAUCACAAACUUAGUGACUAGAGACAACACAGAUUUACUACCUUGCAAUUCUGGAGGUUACAAGUCCGAAAUGGGUCUUGUGGGCUGAAGUCAAGUUACUGGCAGAGAUGUGUUCCUUCUGGAAGCUCUGGGCAGUCUCCUAGACUCUUCCAGCUUCCAGAGGCUGCUCACAUUUCCCGCCACGUGGCCCCUUCCUGCAUCAUUCUAACCUCUCCUUCUGGCACCGCAUCUCCUUUGACCUUCUUGUCUCUCUUUGUAGUGACAUUGGCUCUGUCCAGAGAGUCUCAGAUAAUCUUCCAAUCUCAAGAUCCUUAAUUUAAUCACAUCUGCAAAGUCCCUUUGGUGAGGUAACAUAUUCACAAGUUCCUAGGAUUGAGAUGAAGAUAAUUUUGUGAGGAGAAGCAUUAUUCAGCAUGUUACAGCAUAUAAAGAAAUGCAUAAAGAAAAAAGUUGUCAAGGUGAUACACAACUGAAUAAAUGAUGUUUAGGAAGUCUUAUUUUAGUCAUUUAUUACUGUGCAGCAAAUUGCUCCAAAACUUAGUGGCCAAAAGAGCACGCCCUUGUUAGCUCACAGUUGCUAUGGGUCAGGAGAGGGUAGCAGCCCAGCUGGGGUCUCCGUCUCAGGGUCUCUCUCUAGGCUGCACUCAAGGUGUCAGCUGAGCCACGUCCCGAGGUUCACCAGGGACCGAGCUCCUUUUCCAAGUUGACUUCUGGCCGUGGGUAGGAUUCAGUUCCCACAGUUGAACUGAGCUCUUGUUCCUUAUUGGCUGCUGGUGGAGGCUCCUCCCUGUCACGUGGUCCUCUCCGUGGGGCAGUGUGCAGCUGCUUCAUCAGGUGAUGGAGGGAAAGAGGGUGAGGGCGAGAGCAGGGUGGAGGCACCAUCUUGUAUAACCUAGUCCCGGGAGCAGCAUCCCCUCACUUUUGCCACAUUCUCUUCAUUAGAAGUGAGUCCCUAGGUCCAGCCUAUACUUAGGGGAAGGCAAUUACAGCAGGGCAUGGAGUGGUGGUGGUGUGUGUGUGGGGGGGUCAUUUCGAAAUCUGCCUCGGACACUCAUCUUAGUCGAUAAGUUUUCUGUUACCUGACAUGCAGUUCAGCCCUUUAGCAGAAACGUGUCUGCUCAAUAGAUCUGCUUUCCUCCAGGAUUCGGGGCGUCCCAACCCUCUGCUGCCAAUGUCCCACUGUGAAAACUAGUCUUCUUGCUUUCUCUUGGGGUCACUACCCCCGUCCUUGUGUGCCUACUCUGUUUUCAGAUGUCCUCUUUGUGUUCCUGCUAGAUUCUUAAAUUAUUAUUUUAAAAUUUUUAUGUAAGUUUAUUUUAAAAUUUGAGAAUAAUUUAACUUAAAAACACAUAUUAUUUUUACAUUUAUAUAAUGUUAUACAUUGUUUAGGAAACUUCAGGACAAGAAAAACAAAACAUAGAUAUAUUUGCUUUAAUUAAAUUAAACCCAGAUCUGAGCUCCUGCUCUUUAGAGUACUAGGAAAUUCAAUUCCAGAAAUUUUGAGAGCAGGAAUAGAGCUUUUCCACUUCCAGUUAAUGAAUCAGAUUAUUAAUUAUCUAUGUAUUUCUCCUUAUUUUGUUUUUCUCUCCUUCAACCUCCUGAACUCCCUUUCUUAACAGUUUUCAGGUUUCAUUCUGAUUAAUCAAGGGUUUUUUAAGAAAUGCUGGUUUUACAACUGGUUAAUUUAUAUUCCGAUUUGUGUGGAAUCUAAAGUAGUCAGAGGAGCCUGGCUCUUUUAUGAAACCAGAUGGUGAAAAGGACUGGAGGAUGUUCCUUACAAAGUGUAAGGGUCAGUUAAUUUCUCUCUGUGUGUAUUAUGAUGCACUGGAGAUAACCCUUAUGAAUUUAAUUUGGUGACCUUUUGCAGCUGUCAGGCCUCAAUAAUUUCUACCUGUUUUGAUAUUCCCCCAAACUGCUGAGGACAUUACAACAUAAAAGGAGCUGGUGAAUAUGCAUAAAUCUAUGGGGAUCUUGAGCAGUAGUUUAUGUGGGCGGAGGGGUACAGAAGAAAGGU